Molecule: ribosomal RNA, 423 nt
Filed under: Acanthamoeba sp. Had_3075
Lineage: Eukaryota; Discosea; Longamoebia; Acanthamoebidae
Description: SSU rRNA
Rfam family: Eukaryotic small subunit ribosomal RNA (bases 1-372)
Source: RNAcentral
ACCGUGAAAAAAUUAGAGUGUUCAAAGCAGGCAGAUCCAAUUUUCUGCCACCGAAUACAUUAGCAUGGGAUAAUGGAAUAGGACCCUGUCCUCCUAUUUUCAGUUGGUUUGCCGCGAGGACCAGGGUAAUGAUUAAUAGGGAUAGUUGGGGGCAUUAAUAUUUAAUUGUCAGAGGUGAAAUUCUUGGAUUUAUGAAAGAUUAACUUCUGCGAAAGCAUCUGCCAAGGAUGUUUUCAUUAAUCAAGAACGAAAGUUAGGGGAUCGAAGACGAUCAGAUACCGUCGUAGUCUUAACCAUAAACGAUGCCGACCAGCGAUUAGGAGACGUUGAAUACAAAACACCACCAUGCGAUUGCGGUCGUCUUUGGUGUCGCUCACAAGGCGGCAUCGGGACGGCUUAGCUCGCAUGGCACCGGUGAAUGAC